GGCUGGUCUGAGUGCAGUGGUGUUUAUGACUAAUUGAUCACAACCAGUUACAGAUUUCUUUGUUCCUUCUCCAUUCCCACUGCUUCACUUGACUAGCCUUUA
Molecule: unclassified non-coding RNA, 102 nt
Organism: Aotus nancymaae (Ma's night monkey)
Lineage: Eukaryota; Metazoa; Chordata; Mammalia; Primates; Aotidae
Rfam family: Y RNA
About the family: Y RNAs are components of the Ro ribonucleoprotein particle (Ro RNP), in association with Ro60 and La proteins. The Y RNAs and Ro60 and La proteins are well conserved, but the function of the Ro RNP is not known.
Source: Ensembl